CCUACGGGGGGCAGCAGUGGGGAAUCUUAGACAAUGGGGGCAACCCUGAUCUAGCCAUGCCGCGUGAUCGAUGAAGGCCUUAGGGUUGUAAAGAUCUUUCAGAUGGGAAGAUAAUGACGGUACCAUCAGAAGAAGCCCCGGCUAACUCCGUGCCAGCAGCCGCGGUAAUACGGAGGGGGCUAGCGUUAUUCGGAAUUACUGGGCGUAAAGCGCACGUAGGCGGAUUGGAAAGUUGGAGGUGAAAUCCCAGGGCUCAACCUUGGAACUGCCUUCAAAACUCCCAGUCUUGAGGUCGAGAGAGGUGAGUGGAAUUCCGAGUGUAGAGGUGAAAUUCGUAGAUAUUCGGAGGAACACCAGUGGCGAAGGCGGCUCACUGGCUCGAUACUGACGCUGAGGUGCGAAAGCGUGGGGAGCAAACAGGAUUAGAUACCCCAGUAGUC
RNAcentral lists this ribosomal RNA (440 nucleotides) under uncultured bacterium. Its description in RNAcentral is "bacterial SSU rRNA". It matches the Rfam family "Bacterial small subunit ribosomal RNA", at positions 338 to 795 of the family's 1533-position model. The record is from RNAcentral.